Molecule: long non-coding RNA, 6160 nt
Organism: Hypanus sabinus (Atlantic stingray)
Lineage: Eukaryota; Metazoa; Chordata; Chondrichthyes; Myliobatiformes; Dasyatidae
Exons: 4
Source: RefSeq, a predicted model, not a curated record
GGGGAUAGAUUUUACGUAAGAGAAGAAAGACUAAAAGGGUCAUUUUAUCCACAGACAAUGAUGGGGAUGUGGAAGGAGCGACUAUAGAAAGUGGUAUGGUUGAGUUCAGCUAGAGGGUUUAAAGGAUAUCUUUACAGGCUAAUGGAUAGUACCUGAUCGCAGGGUUAUGGGCUAGACGCAGGCAAAUGGAGCGAAUUCAAGUGGGCAUGGACCAUCUGGAAGGAACCACACUUUCUGUUCAUUGGUACUCUGUGAUUCCAGACAGAGGCCUGAAUAACAAGGAGAGUUUUAAGAAGAGUGUGAGGUUUAGAGGGGAUCUGAGGAAUAAUUGCCUCAUAAGGUUACCAUCAGGAACAUAAUGACGGAGGACAUGUUGCAGGCAGGUAUGUAAAAACCAUCUCUUUGAACAUUUGAAUCACCAAAGCAGAGAAGGCAAUAGACCAAACGCUGAAUUGGAGAAGGCAGAUAACUGGGAUAUAAUAAUGAGCUGAAAUCCCUGUUUCACUACUUAUAUGCCGGUUUCUUAGCUCUUACACAGGCCUUUUAAUCAUAGUUAAAGUCUGUAAAGUUUUAUGAGCUUUUUUUUCAUUUCGACGCCUUGUGCAGGUGCCGGUGGGCAAGUUAUACACGGGUUUCUGAGAUAGAGAUUGGGAUCCCGCAAGACAGUAUUUCUUAUUUCUUAUUAUAAUUAAUACUAUUUUCUCUAAGAUAGGUACAGGGGUGGGGAAAUCACUACUUAGAUGAUGGAGUUUUAUGGAUUGGAGUUAGAAAUGUCAAUUUAACUGUAUAUAGGAUGCCAUUAGCAAUUAAUCAGUUGGCUAAUCGAUGGGACUUAAGCUCUCAGUGGCAAAAAAAUAAAGUCGAGUGUUUUAUAAACAGGAUUAAUAGAAGACGUGUCAGUGGUGAGAAGUGGCAGGUGGAUGCACAAUGAGCUGACAUGGAAGCACCGUAUCAGUAAACUAAUUGAUAAAUAUAAAGGAGCAAUAAAUAUUCUCGGUGUCUCUGUGGAUAUUCUUCGGGUGCGACAUGAAAAUCUCUGCUGACCAUUUACAUUUGUUUCAUUAGAUCAUGUCUUGAUUCUGUGGUACAUGGAUCAGCUUCAUCUCCAACUUUCAAAUGUUUGGCUGUGAUACAAGCACAGGCUUUAAGAUUCUGUUGUGGUGCAGUAAGGCCGUCUCCUGUUUCAGGUUUACUGAUUGAUUUUGCGGAGAUUGACUUUAAUGUCAAUGUACUGGAUUAAUUUGAAGGAGCAAAUAAAUGAUCAUCCUGUUGGAGGUGUGUCGGAGGACAGUUGGGAACAUCACAAGAAGAGUGUUAUAGUUUUGUGUGCUUGGGUUCUUCUUACACUGGGAAUGUGGGUUCGUUGAAUUAUGCAAUAUGUUCCACUGUGGCAUUCCCGGUAACCCCAACUUGUUUGUUUUUUAAUGCCUUUAUUGAUUUUGGGGCACCCGAUUUAAUAAAGUCUCAGGAUUUUGUUAUGCCUGAGAAUCUGUUAGUUCAUUGGUAUAUUAAGGAAAUUUAUUGUGAUAUGUUAACCAUUUUACAGAAGGAUCAAAAUAUAAUUUAACUGGACUGUUGGUGUGGCUGUUUUUGUGCCCAGAUUACAGGUAACGAUAAAGAAACAAGAUUGACCGAUUUCUGGAGAACAACAUUCUCGAUGUCCACAGGGAACAGGGAGAACCCAAAGGGUUCGAUGGCGUGGUCCGGUGUCUCCUCCAUCAACCAGGGAUCCACAAAGCACAAAACGUUACUUUAUUUUGUUUCCCGCAGGUGAGAGAUUCUGGCUGUCAGUUCACACAGCUUGUUCUAAUCACGCUGGGAAUAUGGGUUUGUUGGAUUAUGCAAUGUGUCCCACUGUCGCGUUCUUGGUAACCCCACAUACUUUUUCUCAAACUUUUAGUUUAUUUUAGGUUACACAACUUAAUGAGGGCUCAGGAUACUGUUCUGCUUGACAAUCUUAGUUCGGCAGUAUAUUGUGGAAAAUUAUUAUGAUAUGUUAAACAUUGCUGCAGAAGAAUCAAAAGAUAACUUAACCGGGAUGAUGGUGUGGCCGUUUUUUGUUCAUGAAUUACAAGUAACGAUAAAGAAACAAUUUACCAACCAUUUAUCAGUAUAUAUAGUAGAAUUUGUUUCCAUCAUUUGAGGCUUUUGUUCAUGUAAGUUGCCAUUUGUUCAGAUGCCUGUUCGGUUUUGAUGAGUCUUAAAACAGGUAGUUCUUGCAGUAGGACAGAUUUACUGUUGGAAUCUAAUCAAACAUUAUUUCAGACGCAGAGUAUUGGUUUAUAUUUCCACUUUUUAUGGGUCCCUGCACACUGCGGAUCAGUAACAAAAGCUGUUAAAAUUCCAAAUAGCACAUCAGAAAUUGAGGGGUUGUUGGAUUAAUAAUUAAAUCAAGAUUGGUGGGAUAAAGGGCAUCAAUGGAGACACCUUUACAGAAUACAUACUUGUUUAUGGAAGUUUGUGGAUGACACAAGAAGGUAAGGAAUUACAUUGACACGCCUUAGAAUUUGACACACUAUGCUUAAUUACUGUAUGCCUUUGUUCGUGUUGGGAAGCAUCAUUCUGGGUAUGUAGAUCUCAUUUUAAAAAUGUCAAUAAUUUUAAUUUAACUCACUCUAUCGUGUUUUGUUACGUACAAUCUAUAGGACUUUUCGGGGGGUAACUUAGGUUUCAUUUGAAAAAGGAAGCAGUGAGGGUUUUCUGUCCCAAUUCUCUACACCACACUCCAGUCCAGUUCGUGUCCGGAAUGCAGCUUUAAAUUGGAGUGUCCGCCGUUGUUUAUACAAACCCCGCCCUCGUUCUCCACGUCAGCCAAUUAUUCAAAGAGAAGGCGGAGACUGGUGAUUGACAAUGGAUUAGCCAACCAGCAUCCGGCUAGACCGUCGUCAUCAAAGUGGUCCUGACGAAGGGUCUCGCACUGAAAUGUUGCUUCCCGACUUGCUGAGUUCCUCCAUCUUGUUUGUACGUGUCGACUAGAUCUCCGCCACUUUCUGGCAACGUCGGGCUGCGAGUUCGGUGGGCGGGAACGGGAAUUGAUGGGCAUAUCUGCAGACCAAUGGUCGAGCGGUAUUCACGAGUAAUUCUGUGACUGCCAUUUGACAGAUCCAAUGAGAUACCGAGUUUCCAGGCUGGUGUUCUGCCGCGUCCCACACACACACACUCGUAUCCUCCCGCAACUGCCGGUCGGUGGGACAAUCCGCCCGGGAAUAAACAUAGAAACCUCCGGCACAAAACAGGAGGUUGCUGUGCCGAACAUGUCCUCACCUUGGAAACACCUGGGAGAUGAGGCGGUGAAUGUGAGGAGCUGGAGCCCGGACCGGAGACACUGCGGCCGCCUCUGCCGUGUGCUCAGGACGCGGCUUUAUUAAUGAACUGAAGCCCCGAGGUGACCGGAUAUUUCACCGGCUCAUCACCUGAUAACGUCUGACCGGCGCAAUGCCCACGCACACAAAAAGGGAACAAACUGGCCUCUCCCGGAAACCACACCCCUUCGUCUUCUGAGAGAACAUUGCUGCUUUCCAAACAAUGAAGAAUUACACAACAUCUAUAAUUCACUGUCACACAAAAAGGGAACAAACUGGCCUCUCCCGGAAACCACACCCCUUCGUCUUCUGAGAGAACAUUGCUGCUUUCCAAACAAUGAAGAAUUACACAACAUCUAUAAUUCACUGUCACACAAAAAGGGAACAAACUGGCCUCUCCCGGAAACCACACCCCUUCGUCUUCUGAGAAAACAUUGUCACUGUCCAAACAACGAAGAAUUGCACAACAUCAGACAAUUCACUGUGCGAGUCAAUCGUCAUCACAGUGCGGGGUGGGGGACGUGGGGACGGGUGGGUGCUCGGGAAAACGAGCUGCAGUAAAGGAGGAAUUGGGGUGAGGGUGAGAGGUAGGGGAAGCGUUCGGUAGAAAGGGUGAAAGAGAUUAUAAGGGGAGAAGAAGGGGAGUGAGUGAAUGAGUGGGUAGGGUAGGGAGGAAUGUGCUGAGAACAAGGGUGUGUCAGUGGGGAAGGGAACAGAUGAAGAGAGGAGAGAGAGAGUGUGUGUGGAAGAGAAGGAAAUAGGUGAGGUGGGAGGAGGAAGAGAGAAUGAGGGAGUGGGAGACAAGAGAUGGAGAGAAAGAGACAGUGAGGAAAUGGGGAAGCAGAGGUGGCAAAAGUGGGAAGGGGUGAAAAUGGGGGCAGGAAAGUGGGGAGAGUUUGAGCCAAAGAGGAGGAAAAAGAUAUUUUACAACUUUACAAUCCCUGGCUCUGAUUGCCACACUUUGACCAUGGAUGUCCAGUAUCAAUUUACUUUUGUCCCCAGCAGGAAAUCCUGAAAGCACAUCGUUUGCUUCCCGACAACAGCCCCCACCAAUUCCCUUUCAUCGACACUUUAAAUGGAGUCAGAGAGCACUUUUACAAACAAACAAACACUUUUUCCCACUUAGUCCGUACCGAAUUAUUAUUUUGCCGAGUCCCAUAACCGCAGCUGGACCAUCGCACUCAAUACCCCUGAUCCAAACUUUUCUACAAUGAAAUCCAUAACUUCUACUGGCAGCUGUUCCUCAUCCUCACCACCCUCUGAGUUAAGGAGAUCCCACUCAGGUUCCUCUUAAAUAUUUCACCUUUCACCCUUAAACUGCAACUUCCAGUUCCCAUCUCACCCAACCUCAGAGGAAAAAUCCUGCCUCCAUUUACCCUGUGAACAACACUCAUAACGUUAUAUAAAUCUGCAAAAUCCCCCUUCAUUUUCCAAAACUAAAGGCAAUAAAGUCCUUACCUUUUACUAAAGCUCAAGUCCUCAAGUCCCAGCAAACGUAUUGUAAAUUUCUCUGCACUCUUUGUAUUUUGUUGAUAAUUUUCCUUCAGGCCGGUAACAAAAACUACACACAAUACUCCAGAUUAGGCCUGACCAACGUCUUAUACAACUUCAACAUAACAUCUCAUCUCCUGUAGUCAGUACUUUGAUUUAUGAAGUCCAAUGUGCCAAAAGCUCUCAUUUCGACUCUAUCUACCUGUGACGCCACUUUCAAGUCAUUAUGUAUCUGUGUUCCCAGAUCCCUCUCUUCUACCGACUCCUCAGGACCCGACUGCUCACCGUGUCUUCAUGCACCCGAAAUCAAUGCACACCGCAAAUCCAGUCCUUUGAAUAUGAAACAAUGUUUGAUGAGUUUCCAGCAGUAAAUCUGACCUACUGCGAGAAUGACCUGUUUUAAGACUCUUGAAAACCGAAAGGGAAUCUGAACAAAUUACAACUUUGCAUGGAAAAAAUUCCUCACCCACUGUAAGCACGAAUUGAUGACAAGCGAUUCUGUUGUAAAUCCUGAUAAAUAGCUUGUAGGUCGUUUCUUUAUCGUUACCAAUAAUUCACGCAUAAGACAGCAACAUCUACAAUCCCAGUGAAAUUAUAUUUUGAUCCUCUGGAAAAUGGUUAAACUUUGGCAAUAAUUUCCUUAAUGUACACUGAACCAACAAAUUCUCAGACUUCAUUAAAUCGUGUAUUCUAUAAUCAAAUAAAGGCAUUGACAGAAACAAGGUGGGGUUACCAAGAACACGACAGUGGGAUGUUUUGCAUAACCCAACAAGCACAUAUUUCAAGCAUGAUAAGAACCCAGGCAACGAAAACUAAAAACAAACUAACCUGUCAAGCCAAACGACAAAAUAAUCCUGCACAGGAAUAAAACUUAAAAUGUGCAGGUUUCCUGAACAGAUAUAACAUCGGAAGAAUCUGACAAACCAGAAAUAAACUGCUGAAAGUGUUGACCAUGUAAAAUCAGGCUUCUUGCAUUUCACUUCAAUAUUUCAAUCCCAUUACAUAUCUUCACAAGUAGACUGGGAUGCAGAAACCCCCACAACUCAGAGCUUCAUUUACAGCUUCCCACAGAACACCAGUUACACCAAGAUACCUUUCUGCAGCUUUCACAACAAUUUUAAUUUCCUCAGUAGGGUGAGAUGCCUUAGCAGUACAAUUCACCACAUUAGUCAUAAACAUCACAAACUUCAUUUUAUCAAGCAGUGAGGUGUCUUUCAUGAGAGAACUGUGAUGACGACAUAUAUCCACUGACGUCACAGUCUGUUCUCUGAGUGGGAUCACUUUAUCCAGUUUACCUGCUCUGCUUGCUGUACUUGCCCUUGAACAGGCCCUUCUGCUCACUGUGUUGUUCUGAACCAAUUGACCUG